UGGUGUAAUAAUAUACAAUCUGAUACAACUCCAUAGUUCUAUCAUGUGGAUAAAAAGAAUACAACAGAAGAACGAAAUAUAGCCAAACACAAACACACACAAAAAAAUAUACACACACACAUACAUAUUCUGAAGUUUAAUACUAGUUAAUUAUUAAAUCAGACACUCUAUUUUAAAAGAAACCAAACAUUAAUGAAAGAGAAAUUUGAAAUAGAAUGAGAGAUAGUGUGUGUGUGCCGGGAACACACCAGAGAAGUCGUCAACGGUGCUGGAAUCGAUGAAAGAGGACAAUGGCUUGAGCGAAUUGGAAGAGAUUCAGAUGAACGAGAAAAUUAAACUGGAACGGGAAAAAAACUUACAGUAUGAGAAGAAAGAGAGAGAGAUGAGUGAUUAGUGAUUUACCUUCAGAAAUUUAGGGAGAGAUGGGUUAUCGCAGAGGAGUAGAGAGAGGGAGGGGUUAUCGGCGAGCAGAGAAACAUAGAGGAAAUUAGGGAAAUAGGGUUCGUGUGUGA
RNAcentral lists this long non-coding RNA (512 nucleotides) under Nicotiana benthamiana. RNAcentral's name for it is "long non-coding RNA (NBEN_LNC020416)". Lineage: Eukaryota; Viridiplantae; Streptophyta; Magnoliopsida; Solanales; Solanaceae. The record is from RNAcentral.